This 118-nucleotide non-coding RNA is filed under the name Rhodonellum ikkaensis. The record is from RNAcentral. Lineage: Bacteria; Pseudomonadati; Bacteroidota; Cytophagia; Cytophagales; Cytophagaceae.
GAGGGCAGGCCCCUCGGUGAGGGUUUUUAGGAAAACUCACCAAACCACUUCUAUGAUGCAUCUGCGGUAACAAAGGUGUGUGAAGCGAUAGAAGAAAAGGCUGUUUAAAUGGUCAGGU